Molecule: ribosomal RNA, 573 nt
Filed under: Triticum aestivum (bread wheat)
Lineage: Eukaryota; Viridiplantae; Streptophyta; Magnoliopsida; Poales; Poaceae
Description: partial small subunit ribosomal RNA
Source: RNAcentral
AUGUUAAGGAAACUUUUGAGGGGCUCUUCUAGCCAAAGCUCUCAGAAAAAACAAGCCAAAGAGAUGGAAAAAGCCAAAUAUAAUCUUCCUCGCUUAGCGGAAGUACGGUCGUGUGAAUGGCCAUGCGAGGAUUUCUUGAAAGAGGCUGGAAUUCAUGAAGACUUUUAUGCUUUAAUCGAGACUGCAGGCCUCACCAGUUUCAUCAAUGACCAAAUCGACCAGUAUCUCUUACUCACCAAUACUUUCGUGCAAAACUUUUAUUUUUAUCCUAAGAAGUCACCGUCUGCAGUAUCAUUUCAUUUAUAUGAUGAGUUCAAAGAAAUGUCUUUACGCCAUUUUUGUGCGGUAUGUAGGAUACCUUAUGAGGGAGAAUUAGAGGAACCCCAUCGUGAAGAUGUGGCUGGCUUUGUUAAUACUAUUGCUAUAGAGGAGCCAAAGAGGGGCUCUAAGGCAAAAGUCUCUAGCAUACACUUUCCUGUUUUACGCUACUUUGCCAUAUUUGCUAGUAGAUGCUUGAUUGGUCGUGGAAAUAGUGGAAACUUGAGCGUUCCAGAUAUUAUCAUUCUUCAAUAA